AACGGAGACGCAUCUUCCCUGCAUCUCACAGGUUAAGCUUUCCAAGGGGGUGGAGGGGAAAGGGAGUCUUGUCCUUUUGCUCCUUGUAGGGUGGGUUUGUUCAGCUGUGAUUGCCUUCAGCUCCUGCAGGAAGGUGGGCUGGAGAACGGAGGCUCCUGGUAAGCCAGCUCCGACACUCCCCUCUCCCUCCUUCGGAGGAAUCCCUGGAUGGCCAAGCAGGGAGAUUUGGAGCCCUGGAAGAUGAUCGCAAGAAGGUUCACGAGGACAGGAACGUAUAGGAGAGGGGGACUUGCCAGGGAGGGAGGGAGGGGGUGGGUGUCUUGAAAGUUUUCCCGAAAGGCGAGCCCGUUUGGUCAAUCCUUCUCCCACCCCCUCCCCAUGUCCUUAAGCCCCCCAAGAAGGCCAAGAGAGAUGAGGAUGGUGGAAAUGUGCUCUUUUCCCACACAUCCCCUCUCCCCAUCCAUUCAAGAGGGAACCAGUUGGGGACCCCUCCUGCUCUUCUCAACUGGAUGGAGAACUUGCCUUCCUGGGGGUGGGGGGUAGACCCAAAGCUGGCACUGUGGAGGAAAGUUGUGGAGCUCCUGAAGGCUUGGAAACCCACGUAGCUUCCCAAGCAGGAAGUCUUGUUCUGGGACUCAAGAACGUUCUGGAGAACAUUCUGGACUCAAGAAUGUUCUGGAGAACGUCAGCUGGAGAGCCCUGCCUUAAGGAAAGGGCACCACAUCCUGAUCAGCGAACGGCAUUUAGAAACAGCAUCUUCCUUUCCCUUCUUUUAUUUUUUUUUUAAAAAUGGAGUCUUUGCGCUCAUGUUACGUUUAUACCGGUGUAUUUUAUUUUCUAAGGGGAUACAAACUUUGAAGAGGGACCAACAGCCCCACUGUUUACAAUGUGUGUACAUCCAGAUAUGUAUGCGCCAUACGUAUCUAUCUAUCUAUCUGGCAUUCAUACUUCUUGUAGUACAGUAAACGUGUUUUAUCAUGCAAUAUAUUAGGAGAAAAAGAAGAAAAAAAAGAGAAGACAAUAGCACAUUAUUUGCUUGGUUUCUACCCAAAAGGGUUUGGGUUUGUUUGUUUCCAACUGUGCGUUUUCUUCUGCACCCCCACCCACCCCGCCUCCUCCGUCUCUGGGACAGUCUUCGGAGCCCUGGUUCACUUUGGCAGUGGGGGACGGUGGCUCUUCUCCCCCCUCCUCUGCCCACACCCCUCCUCCAGCAUUCCUCUUUCAGGGGCCUUCUCUCUUGUUAUAAAAAACGAAACAAAAGACAAAAAACUUUUUACCGAGUGAAACAUGGGGUACCACACCUUUAUUGCCAUUCUCACCAAUGUAAAUACUGAUACUAACGGAGAAUUUUGACUUUGCAUUCUGUCACAAUACUUGUGUUCAAAUAAAAAUUACCAAAAAAAAAAAAA
Long non-coding RNA from Ahaetulla prasina, 1409 nucleotides. RefSeq lists it as uncharacterized. Lineage: Eukaryota; Metazoa; Chordata; Lepidosauria; Squamata; Colubridae. The record is from RefSeq and is a predicted model, not a curated record. The transcript is spliced from 2 exons.